UACGUAGGGUGCAGGCGUUAAUCGGAAUUACUGGGCGUAAAGCGUGCGCAGGCGGUUUUGUAAGACAGGGGUGAAAUCCCCGGGCUCAACCUGGGAACUGCCUUUGUGACUGCAAGGCUUGAGUGCGGCAGAGGGGGAUGGAAUUCCGCGUGUAGCAGUGAAAUGCGUAGAUAUGCGGAGGAACACCGAUGGCGAAGGCAAUCCCCUGGGCCUGCACUGACGCUCAUGCACGAAAGCGUGGGGAGCAAACAGG
RNAcentral lists this ribosomal RNA (253 nucleotides) under uncultured bacterium. RNAcentral describes it as "partial 16S ribosomal RNA". It matches the Rfam family "Bacterial small subunit ribosomal RNA", at positions 524 to 776 of the family's 1533-position model. The record is from RNAcentral.